CGGGUGAGUAACACGUAGGUGAUCUACCUUUGGGUGGGGAAUAGCCCAUGGAAACAUGGGGUAAUACCGCAUGAGGUCUUUGGGCUUAGGUGUCCAUAGAUAAAAGGAGCAAUUGUUCCGCCUGGGGAUGAGCCUGCGGUCCAUUAGCUAGUUGGUGUGGUAAGAGCGCACCAAGGCGACGAUGGAUAGCCGGCCUGAGAGGGUGAACGGCCACACUGGGACUGAGACACGGCCCAG
Molecule: ribosomal RNA, 237 nt
Filed under: uncultured bacterium
Lineage: Bacteria
Description: partial 16S ribosomal RNA
Rfam family: Bacterial small subunit ribosomal RNA
Source: RNAcentral